AGUGAACGCUGGCGGUAGGCCUAACACAUGCAAGUCGAACGGCAGCACAGUAAGAGCUUGCUCUUACGGGUGGCGAGUGGCGGACGGGUGAGGAAUACAUCGGAAUCUACUUUUUCGUGGGGGAUAACGUAGGGAAACUUACGCUAAUACCGCAUACGACCUACGGGUGAAAGCAGGGGAUCUUCGGACCUUGCGCGAUUGAAUGAGCCGAUGUCGGAUUAGCUAGUUGGCGGGGUAAAGGCCCACCAAGGCGACGAUCCGUAGCUGGUCUGAGAGGAUGAUCAGCCACACUGGAACUGAGACACGGUCCAGACUCCUACGGGAGGCAGCAGUGGGGAAUAUUGGACAAUGGGCGCAAGCCUGAUCCAGCCAUACCGCGUGUGUGAAGAAGGCCUUCGGGUUGUAAAGCCCUUUUGGUGGGAAAGAAAAGCAGCAGGUUAAUACCCCGCUGUUCUGACGGUACCCAAAGAAUAAGCACCGGCUAACUUCGUG
This 492-nucleotide ribosomal RNA is filed under the name uncultured bacterium. Its description in RNAcentral is "partial 16S ribosomal RNA". It matches the Rfam family "Bacterial small subunit ribosomal RNA", at positions 29 to 507 of the family's 1533-position model. The record is from RNAcentral.